GGCCGCGGUAAUACGUAGGGUCCGAGCGGUGUCCGGAAUUAUUGGGCGUAAAGGGCUCGUAGGCGGUUUGUCGCGUCGGGAGUGAAAACUCAGGGCUUAACCCUGAGCGUGCUUCCGAUACGGGCAGACUAGAGGUAUUCAGGGGAGAACGGAAUUCCUGGUGUAGCGGUGGAAUGCGCAGAUAUCAGGAGGAACACCGGUGGCGAAGGCGGUUCUCUGGGAAUAACCUGACGCUGAGGAGCGAAAGCAUGGGUAGCGAACA
This 262-nucleotide ribosomal RNA is filed under the name uncultured bacterium. RNAcentral describes it as "partial 16S ribosomal RNA". It matches the Rfam family "Bacterial small subunit ribosomal RNA", at positions 513 to 774 of the family's 1533-position model. The record is from RNAcentral.